RNAcentral lists this ribosomal RNA (113 nucleotides) under Periophthalmus magnuspinnatus. The record is from RNAcentral. Lineage: Eukaryota; Metazoa; Chordata; Actinopteri; Gobiiformes; Gobiidae.
GGUUACGCCGCCUCGUUAAAGUCUGAUCUCUGCAGCUCUCAGAAAAUAAGCAAGACUGAUCCUGGUUAGUACUUAGACAGGAGACUGCAGGGAAUACCACUACGGCAAAAACU